GACGAACGCUGGCGGCGUGCUUAACACAUGCAAGUCGAACGGAAAGGCCCUGCUUUUGUGGGGUGCUCGAGUGGCGAACGGGUGAGUAACACGUGAGUAACCUGCCCUUGACUUUGGGAUAUCUUCAGGAAACUGGUGCACUUCCGGGGAAGGAUUUCUCGCCUCUGGUGGGGGCUGGGAAGUUUUGGCCGUUGGGGUUGGACUGGCGGGCUACCAGCCUGUUGGUGGGGUCGUGGCUUAGCAAGGCAUUGGCCGGUUGGGGGCCUGAGAGGGGAACCGGCCACAUUGGGACUGAGAUGCGGCCCAGACUCCUACGGGAGGCAGGAGUGGGGAAUAUUGCACAAUGGGCGGAAGCCUGAUGCAGCAACGCCGCGUGCGGGAUGACGGGAUUCGGGUUGUAAAGCGAUUUCGUCUGUGACGAAGCGUGAGUGACGGUAAUGGGUGAAGAAGCACCGGCUAACUACGUG
Molecule: ribosomal RNA, 467 nt
Filed under: uncultured bacterium
Lineage: Bacteria
Description: partial 16S ribosomal RNA
Rfam family: Bacterial small subunit ribosomal RNA
Source: RNAcentral